GACGAACGCUGGCGGCGUGCUUAACACAUGCAAGUCGAACGGAAAGGCCCUGCUUUUGUGGGGUGCUCGAGUGGCGAACGGGUGAGUAACACGUGAGUAACCUGCCCUUGACUUUGGGAUAACUUCAGGAAACUGGGGCUAAUACCGGAUAGGAGCUCCUGCUGCAUGGUGGGGGUUGGAAAGUUUCGGCGGUUGGGGAUGGACUCGCGGCUUAUCAGCUUGUUGGUGGGGUAGUGGCUUACCAAGGCUUUGACGGGUAGCCGGCCUGAGAGGGUGACCGGCCACAUUGGGACUGAGAUACGGCGCAGACUCCUGCGGGAGGCAGCAGUGGGGAAUAUUGCACAAUGGGCGGAAGCCUGAUGCAGCAACGCCGCGUGCGGGAUGACGGCCUUCGGGUUGUAAACCGCUUUCGCCUGUGACGAAGCGUGAGUGACGGUAAUGGGUAAAGAAGCACCGGCUAACUACGUG
RNAcentral lists this ribosomal RNA (468 nucleotides) under uncultured bacterium. RNAcentral's name for it is "partial 16S ribosomal RNA". It matches the Rfam family "Bacterial small subunit ribosomal RNA", at positions 28 to 507 of the family's 1533-position model. The record is from RNAcentral.